AUUGACCCCUCACUCCCGCAAUGCCGAUACCCGUCACCCCUCACUGUAUUUGCUCCACAAUAUAAACAUCCUACAAGUCUCUGCUUCCACUCACCCCACGACAAACUCCAAAACCAAGUUAUAAGAAAAGUCUAAAAGACUUUCUGGGCCUCAGGUUCAAAAGAGCCCCACUCAGUCUCCUUUCAAAGUCGGCUCAGGUAGGUAGGUUCUCUCUCCCGUCUCCUGGAAGUCAAUGAAUGGAACUGUCGGAGUGGAAGGGAUGGGCAAGAUGGCACAAAUUCUCAUUCUAUUUGGCAUGGUUGUUUCCCAAAUAGCGGCAAAGGAUUAACGAGAGAGUGGAGAAGUGAGAGUGGAAGUGCUGUCUUAAGUCCCUGACAGAUAGCAAGAUCCAGGUAUGUUUUGGGAAGGAGGUUCAAGGUGGUAGAGGUUCUAGAAGGCUAGGUUAGCAGGCAUGUUGAGAAUGGAAGAGCAGUGUUUUGGAUGCCAUC
RNAcentral lists this long non-coding RNA (488 nucleotides) under Homo sapiens (human). Its description in RNAcentral is "HSALNT0015500". Lineage: Eukaryota; Metazoa; Chordata; Mammalia; Primates; Hominidae. The record is from RNAcentral.